This 451-nucleotide ribosomal RNA is filed under the name uncultured organism. Its description in RNAcentral is "partial 16S ribosomal RNA". It matches the Rfam family "Bacterial small subunit ribosomal RNA", at positions 330 to 797 of the family's 1533-position model. The record is from RNAcentral.
CGUACACUCCUGCGGGAGGCAGCAGUGGGGAAUAUUGGACAAUGGGCGCAAGCCUGAUCCAGCCAUGCCGCGUGAGUGAUGAAGGCCCUAGGGUUGUAAAGCUCUUUCACCGGUGAAGAUAAUGACGGUAACCGGAGAAGAAGCCCCGGCUAACUUCGUGCCAGCAGCCGCGGUAAUACGAAGGGGGCUAGCGUUGUUCGGAUUUACUGGGCGUAAAGCGCACGUAGGCGGACUAUUAAGUCAGGGGUGAAAUCCCGGGGCUCAACCCCGGAACUGCCUUUGAUACUGGUAGUCUUGAGUUCGAGAGAGGUGAGUGGUAUUCCGAGUGUAGAGGUGAAAUUCGUAGAUAUUCGGAGGAACACCAGUGGCGAAGGCGGCUCACUGGCUCGAUACUGACGCUGAGGUGCGAAAGCGUGGGGAGCAAACAGGAUUAGAAACCCCGGUAGUCCCA